UACGUAGGGGGCGAGCGUUGUCCGGAUUUACUGGGCGUAAAGGGUGAGGAGGCGGUCAUGUAAGUCAGAUGUAAAAGGCGUAGGCUCAACUUACGUAAGCAUUUGAAACUGUGUGACUUGAGUGCAGGAGAGGUAAGCGGAAUUCCUAGUGUAGCGGUGAAAUGCGUAGAUAUUAGGAGGAACACCAGUGGCGAAGGCGGCUUACUGGACUGUAACUGACGCUGAGUCACGAAAGCGUGGGUAGCAAACAGGAUUAGAUACCCUGGUAGUCCACGCUGUGAACGAUGAGUGCUAGGUGUUGGGUAGCGAUACUCAGUGCCGAAGUAAACACAAUAAGCACUCCGCCUGGGGAGUACGGUCGCAAGACUGAA
Molecule: ribosomal RNA, 371 nt
Filed under: uncultured bacterium
Lineage: Bacteria
Description: bacterial SSU rRNA
Rfam family: Bacterial small subunit ribosomal RNA
Source: RNAcentral